GACGAACGCUGGCGGCGCGCCUAACACAUGCAAGUCGAACGGAGCUGAGAGAAGCUUGCUUUUCUUAGCUUAGUGGCGAACGGGUGAGUAACGCGUGAGUAACCUGCCCUGGAGUGGGGGACAACAGUUGGAAACGACUGCUAAUACCGCAUAAGCCCACGAUCCGGCAUCGGAUUGAGGGAAAAGGAUUUAUUCGCUUCAGGAUGGACUCGCGUCCAAUUAGCUAGUUGGUGAGGUAACGGCCCACCAAGGCGACGAUUGGUAGCCGGACUGAGAGGUUGAACGGCCACAUUGGGACUGAGACACGGCCCAGACUCCUACGGGAGGCAGCAGUGGGGAAUAUUGCACAAUGGGGGAAACCCUGAUGCAGCGACGCCGCGUGGAGGAAGAAGGUUUUCGGGUUGUAAACUCCUGUCGUCAGGGACGAUAAUGACGGUACCUAACGAGAAAGCACCGGCUAACUACGUG
This 468-nucleotide ribosomal RNA is filed under the name uncultured bacterium. RNAcentral describes it as "partial 16S ribosomal RNA". It matches the Rfam family "Bacterial small subunit ribosomal RNA", at positions 28 to 507 of the family's 1533-position model. The record is from RNAcentral.